UACGUAGGGUGCGAGCGUUGUCCGGAAUUAUUGGGCGUAAAGAGCGCGUAGGCGGCCAGAUAAGUCCGGUGUGAAAGUCACAGGCUCAACCUGUGAAUGCCGCUGGAAACUGUCUGGCUAGAGUCCGGAAGGGGCGAGUGGAAUUCCUGGUGUAGCGGUGAAAUGCGCAGAUAUCAGGAGGAACACCGGUGGCGAAGGCGGAUCUCUGGGCCUUACCUGACGCUGAGGAGCGAAAGCAUGGGGAGCAAACAGG
This 253-nucleotide ribosomal RNA is filed under the name uncultured bacterium. RNAcentral describes it as "partial 16S ribosomal RNA". It matches the Rfam family "Bacterial small subunit ribosomal RNA", at positions 524 to 776 of the family's 1533-position model. The record is from RNAcentral.